This 482-nucleotide ribosomal RNA is filed under the name uncultured bacterium. Its description in RNAcentral is "bacterial SSU rRNA". It matches the Rfam family "Bacterial small subunit ribosomal RNA", at positions 51 to 526 of the family's 1533-position model. The record is from RNAcentral.
UAACAUGCAGUCGAACGGCAGCACGGGCUUCGGCCUGGUGGCGAGUGGCGAACGGGUGAGUAAUGCAUCGGAACGUGCCCAUGUUGUGGGGGAUAACUACGCGAAAGCGUGGCUAAUACCGCAUACGCCCUGAGGGGGAAAGCGGGGGAUUCUUCGGAACCUCGCGCAAUUGGAGCGGCCGAUGUCAGAUUAGCUUGUUGGUGAGGUAAAGGCUCACCAAGGCGACGAUCUGUAGCGGGUCUGAGAGGAUGAUCCGCCACACUGGGACUGAGACACGGCCCAGACUCCUACGGGAGGCAGCAGUGGGGAAUUUUGGACAAUGGGGGCAACCCUGAUCCAGCCAUGCCGCGUGAGUGAAGAAGGCCUUCGGGUUGUAAAGCUCUUUCAGCCGGGAAGAAAACGCACGCUCUAACAUAGCGUGUGGAUGACGGUACCGGACCAAGAAGCACCGGCUAACUACGUGCCAGCAGCCCCGGUCAACC